GACCGGAUGAUGAGCCAGGCUGGUGCGGAGAAGCAACGAGCUCGCAAAGGAAGCAGCUGAAGAGCUAGAGACAAACCGCACCAUGACGGAAGCCUGAUCCAGAUACGCCGCGUUAUGCAGGAAAGUUUGCACUUGUAAACCUCCAGACGC
RNAcentral lists this ribosomal RNA (150 nucleotides) under Pyramimonas parkeae. RNAcentral's name for it is "partial Bacterial small subunit ribosomal RNA". The record is from RNAcentral. Lineage: Eukaryota; Viridiplantae; Chlorophyta; Pyramimonadophyceae; Pyramimonadales; Pyramimonadaceae.